This 29-nucleotide non-coding RNA is filed under the name Mus musculus (house mouse). Lineage: Eukaryota; Metazoa; Chordata; Mammalia; Rodentia; Muridae. The record is from RNAcentral.
UCCAACUAGUUUGUUUUAUUCUGAUGUCA